Ribosomal RNA from Nomascus leucogenys (northern white-cheeked gibbon), 104 nucleotides. Lineage: Eukaryota; Metazoa; Chordata; Mammalia; Primates; Hylobatidae. The record is from Ensembl.
GUCAACGGCCAUACCACCCUGAACGCACCCGAUCUCGUCUGACAUCGGAAGCUAAGGAGGGUUGGGCCUGGUUAGUACUUGGAUGGAACAAGUCACCUUUUUUU